RNAcentral lists this ribosomal RNA (328 nucleotides) under uncultured eukaryote. RNAcentral's name for it is "partial 18S ribosomal RNA". It matches the Rfam family "Eukaryotic small subunit ribosomal RNA", at positions 1470 to 1796 of the family's 1831-position model. The record is from RNAcentral.
CCCUUAGAUGUUCUGGGCUGCACGCGCGCUACACUGAAGCGUUCAACGAGUAUUCACCUUGCCCGGGAGGGUUGGGUAAUCUUUUGAAUGCGCACCGUGCUAGGGAUAGAUUAUUGCAAUUAUUAAUCUUGAACGAGGAAUUCCUAGUAAACGCAAGUCAUCAGCUUGCAUUGAUUACGUCCCUGCCCUUUGUACACACCGCCCGUCGCACCUACUGAUUGAAUGACUCGGUGAAAAAUUGGGACUGUGAGAACAAUUGAUUCAUUUCAAAUGUACUCGUGGGAACUUUUUUUAACCUCGCCAUUUAGAAGAAGGUGAAGUCGUANCA